This 1138-nucleotide long non-coding RNA is filed under the name Nicotiana benthamiana. RNAcentral's name for it is "long non-coding RNA (NBEN_LNC034532)". Lineage: Eukaryota; Viridiplantae; Streptophyta; Magnoliopsida; Solanales; Solanaceae. The record is from RNAcentral.
UCAGCACAUAAAAAGAGUGAAAAACAAUAGAUAUGCGUGGCCAAACUAUUGUCAAAAAUUGACAUGCAAUAGUAGCACAAAGUCAGUAGAUAUCAAACAUUUGAAGCAUGACAGUCAGGUAGGUCAAGUCUCAUUGAAUUAGUAGUAAAGAAAAACAGAGUAUCAGAAGCAUGCAAAGGGUCUUACAAUGAUAGAUGAGAAAACCCUUCUGAAAAGUUAGGGUUUCCAGGCAUAGUCGAGUUUCAAAGAUAGAAAGAACCCAGAAUCAGAGGAAUCAUAUAAAGAAAAGAGAUGCUGAAACAAAAGAACUUCGAAUCAAGUCAGGUAUUCAAAUGAGCAGUUUCAAACCUAAAGACAUAGGUUUUUCUUUAACAGUAUUCCAUCUUAAAGGAUGAUAAACAAAUGAAUCAAAAAAUACUAGAAAAAUUUUCAGAAACUCAAAUGCACCCACAGAAAUUAGGGCUUUCAAUAUCAAUCGAGUUUAAAGAUGAUAAACAAGUAAAUCAAGAAAAUAUUUAGCAAACAUUUUCAGAAACUCGAAUGAACCCAAAAGAAAUUAGGGUUUUCAACACCAAUCGAGUUUGAAGAUGAUAAAUAGAUAAAUCAAACAGAUACCAGCAAAUAGACUUAGAACCCCCAAAGGAAAUUAGGGUUUUUAACAUGUUAAAGUCACAAAAUAUUUUGAAAAAAAGAACUUGAAGGAAAACCCUAAUCAAAAAAGGAUGAAGAGUCUUUUUCAGAAGCUUCGAGAAAACCCAUAGUAAGCAUGGAUCUAAGGUAAAGCUGAAAGAACUCGAAAAGGUCUUAGAGAUUAGGGUUUCAGAAGAACCCAAAGCAACGAGAAAUGCCUUGAUAGCUACCGAUCUAAAUAGAAAAGUCACAAGUCUGACUCAAAUGGCCAUGGCUGGCCAGAGAAAGGUUAGAGAUGACCUUAGAAAGGCCGUCGAGCAAAGACUACACUAAUCCCCUUCAGAAUCUAGUCAUGAGACCACAGAAGCAAACACGUAGAAGCCAUGAAAGGCUGAUACAUGUCUCAGACGGCCAUGGAAUGCCAUGGAUUAAGGUAGAUUAGGGUGGCAGUUGCUAGGGUUUAGGGUUGUUGUAGAGAGAAUUUGAGAGAUGACAGGGAUUCAAAGGC